This is a long non-coding RNA of Balaenoptera musculus (blue whale), 499 nucleotides long. RefSeq lists it as uncharacterized. The transcript is spliced from 3 exons. The record is from RefSeq and is a predicted model, not a curated record. Lineage: Eukaryota; Metazoa; Chordata; Mammalia; Artiodactyla; Balaenopteridae.
GGCUUCAUAGAAGAUAGCUGGAGUCUCACAUCUGCUUCUGCAUUGAAUCUGUUGCAAUAUAUUGCUAGGGUUGAAGUAUAUGAAGAAAACCCAGCCUCAGGAAAUGAGAGAGAGAGGAAGGAAGGAAAGAGGAGAAGAGAAAAGGAAGAAAGAUGAGAUGGGAAACUCAUCUUCCAACCACAUUGAAAAGCCAUCCAGAACCAAAGUGGCAAAACACUAGUGACUGGGAGCCCAGUGAUGAGUCAUAGGAGACAUGGACAGACCAGAGGAGCCUAAGGAGACAAGACAUCCAAAUGCAACGUGGGAUGCUGGAACAGAAAAGGACAUUGGUGGGAACACUGGUAAAAUCCAAAUAAAAUCUGGAGUUUAGUUAAUAGUAAUGGAUCACUGUUAAUUUCUUUGUUCUGGGAAAUGUACCAUAGUUAGGUAUGUUAACAUGGUGGGAAGUUGGGAUAGGGCAUUUGGGAACUUGGUACUAUCUUGCAACAUUUCUAUAAAU